This 247-nucleotide long non-coding RNA is filed under the name Sinocyclocheilus anshuiensis. RNAcentral's name for it is "lncRNA (ENSSANG00000010695.1)". The record is from RNAcentral. Lineage: Eukaryota; Metazoa; Chordata; Actinopteri; Cypriniformes; Cyprinidae.
AGAAAAUAUCUGACCAUCGUUUCGUUUGCCCUUACAGACUUUUAUUACGGAUUUCCAUGCUGAACGAAGUCCAGGAGAAAUGGCUCGGUGCAGAAACAAUACAUCAUCAGACUGACCUAGUUUGCAGGACCGCGGGUGCUUGCGAAUGAUAAUUAUCUUCUGUGAAUCGUUUCCAUCAAUGCAUCAGUCAAUCAAUCUUCACCAACACCACACGCCAUCAGCAUCUCUAUUUUGUUGUUUCUUCUAA